AGCUUAUCCCAUGAUCCUCUUCGCCCAUAUCUCCCAAACAUCCGCAGCCUAUCCCGUUUGGAACAGAGUGUCAGCUUAUCCACGGGAUGAACCAGCUAUCUCUCAGCUAAUCCCGUCCGCAAAUCAAGCUCCGUCGUUCUGUUUUCCUCCCAGCAUCUGCAACGAUUCGGCUUCAUCCUCAAUCAUCUGCGAUCGAGCUUCAUCUCCCUGUUAUCAGCCGAGAUCCAAACAGCCCCUGCAUCCCAACAGAACAGAGGAUUAACUUCUCCGAAAAUCAAGCAUUUCAUCCCGCGUCCAAGGCUUUCGUCCGCAUCUCCUCCGCGUGGAAGCAGCGUCGGUUUC
Molecule: long non-coding RNA, 342 nt
Filed under: Phoenix dactylifera (date palm)
Lineage: Eukaryota; Viridiplantae; Streptophyta; Magnoliopsida; Arecales; Arecaceae
Description: long non-coding RNA (PDAC_LNC011111)
Source: RNAcentral